UACCAGCUCUCCGAGUGGUAGGGAUGAUUAUUGGGCUUAAAGCGUCCGUAGCUGGCCUUUCAAGUCUCUCGUUAAAUCCAGCGAUUUAAUCGUUGGACUGCGGGAGAUACUGUUAGGCUAGGAGACGGGAGAAGCCGACGGUAUUUUCGGAGUAGGGGUAAAAUCCUAUAAUCCCGGGAGGACCACCAGUGGCGAAGGCUGUCGGCUAGAACGCGCUCGACGGUGAGGGACGAAAGCUGGGGUAGCGGAACCGGAUUAGAUACCCGGGUAGUCCCAGCUGUAAACUAUGCGGGCUAGGUGUUGGGGUGGCUACGAGCCACUUCAGUGCCGCAAGGGUAACGCCAUUAAGCCCCGGACCGCCGUGGGGGAGUAACGGCCGCAAGGCUAGAAAACCUUAAAGGAAUUGGCGGGGGAGCGACCACAAGGCGUGAAGCUUAGCGUUC
RNAcentral lists this ribosomal RNA (443 nucleotides) under uncultured archaeon. RNAcentral describes it as "bacterial SSU rRNA". It matches the Rfam family "Archaeal small subunit ribosomal RNA", at positions 474 to 903 of the family's 1478-position model. The record is from RNAcentral.